UUUUUUUUCUUCUUGGGAUUUGAAACACAGACCUGUCCUUUUUAUCCAAUGCCUGACAAAGCACUGACUGGUCCUGGAGACCUUCACAAAGCUUGGAAGUAGUCACCAGGAGAACAUAUGAGGGCCUGCACUCCGGUUGGCAUUAUUAUGGAUUAAGGCAUAUGGAUAUUUCUGAUUCACUGGAAUUAAAUUUGGAGAACGGUGGCAGGAGCAGCAAGCCAGGAAAACGGGAUCUCCUGCAUCUUCUCCCCUUCCACCUGCGAGUCCAGCCAGGAGCUUACCCCUACACGCGAGAUGUGGGCCAUCAAGCUGCCGUCACUGAGGAGGGGUAGAGGGGAGCUGAAACCCCCUCCCCAUGCCAUGCAUCACGUUAGUGGAUCAGGAUCAGACCAUUGAAUCAUCUUGUCACUUUGGACUGGCUGGGAUUUCUCCUCUGGUGACUGAGAGCUCUGAGGAGCAGAAGGCUUCCCGUCAUCGUCUCUGGUGGUUAAUGGGUCUUUUGGUGAGAAAAGAAGCGAUUUACAAUGCAAAUAGAGGCCUGGGAAAGACUGGAGGCUGUUCAUUGCUCAUUGAGAGCCCCUGUGUGUUUUCUCAUCUCUGGCAUAAAGCGCUUUGGUGAUUAUCCUUAUAGGAAUAACUCGCCAGGAGAAAAGUUGGGAGUCAACUUUGAAGGCAACAGCUUUGUGUGGAUGCUUAUGGAGCUGGUGGCAAGCUGGGAGAACUACCUUUGGGAAGGGAUGCUUGUUCUAAGACGCCUGGUCCUCCAUAAAGGCUUCAGCCCACCCACAGAGCCUGGGAAAUGGAUACUGUUACAGAAUCAAUGUGUGGAAGUGGCUGUUAUCUUUGGUUAUCUAGCUGUAUGAGUGUAUUGGUCCUUCAUAAAGCUAGAUAACCGAAAGUAAAAACUCCUUCCAGAUCAUCACAUCAUCAGCAGCUGAGGAAUAGAGAGACCAAGGGGGGAGCUGGGUAUUUAAAGUACUAGACCCAGCUAAAGGGCUCUCUCUGCAUAGAGAGUGGAUUCUGUCUCUUUAAACACAAAUCAGAGCAGAGGAUUGAGAAACGUGUCUCUGGGUUUAUUAUCUAAUCCCCCACAACCCAAUCUCCCCCCACCCCUACCUGGACAGUGGUGCUCAUGGUAAUGUAUGUCAAAACUUUUCAUGUUCAGCAUAAAUACGUAUUGAUUUUUGAUUUUGCUCACUGUAACCCUUUCGUUGCCAGAAGCACUAACACCGCAGUGCUUCAAAGCUCCAUUCCUGCAGGCCCCUCUGGUGUCUGAAUGGUUAAGAAAUAUAACUUGUAUCUCACAAAGAGCCACAGAGACACAAUGUAUCUUUACAUUCGAACACCCAAAUAAUAAGUGUCAAAUAUGUUCUAUAUCUGUGUGUGUCUCUGUAUGUAUGCAUUUAUAAAAGAUACAGUGAAAGAUAAAUAAUAUAAUAAUAUACUCCCAGUAGAAAUGUUAAAAAUAUACCUUUAUUAUUGUUAUUAAAAAAGGGAAUAAAGAUGGGAUAUAACAGCCAUAUAUAUAGCAUUCUAAACACAAAUUACCACUCACCUCCAGUGUGUACACACACACACACACACACACACACGCACAAUUAUAACAUGUACAGACCGCAGACAGGAAUAACUUACAGGCACAUUUUGGAAAAUCUGGCAGAGAACACUUGUCCAUUUUGCUUAUAUUCGAAAAUGUGAAAUGUUGAUAUAUAUUUAUGUUUUUGUGUGUAUUGUGUAUUGUGUCUCUGUGUGUGUGUGUCCAGAUAGAAAAGGCAGAUGUUUCUCUAUUUUUAAAGGGUUUCCUUAAAAAAAGUCAGCAAGGCAGAAAGAACUGAUAGAGACGAUGCCUCCCCUCCCCCCCCCCUCCCCCC
Molecule: long non-coding RNA, 1871 nt
Organism: Pelobates fuscus (common spadefoot toad)
Lineage: Eukaryota; Metazoa; Chordata; Amphibia; Anura; Pelobatidae
Exons: 3
Source: RefSeq, a predicted model, not a curated record